This 3059-nucleotide ribosomal RNA is filed under the name Cladosiphon okamuranus. RNAcentral describes it as "bacterial LSU rRNA". It matches the Rfam family "Bacterial large subunit ribosomal RNA". The record is from RNAcentral. Lineage: Eukaryota; Phaeophyceae; Ectocarpales; Chordariaceae.
AUUAAGGAUAACGGCGGAUACCUAGGCAUUCAGAGUCGAAGAAGGGCGUGGAAACCGACGAAACGCUUCGGGGAGUUGGAAACAAGCUUUGAUCCGGAGAUUCCCGAAUGGGGCAACCCUAUAUACUGCCAACUGAAUUCAUAGGUUGGUAAGAGGCAACCCGGUGAAUUGAAACAUCUUAGUAGCCGGAGGAAGAGAAAGCAAAAGCGAUUCCCUUAGUAGCGGCGAGCGAAAAGGGACUAGCCUAAACCAUAAGCUUUUUUGGCUUAUGGGGUCGUGGGAGAAGUUAUAAACCCUACCUGUUACAUCAAAGAUGUAACAUCUUUGAUGUUAGGGUAAUGUCAAAUUGAUCUAGACGAAUCAGCUGAAUCCUGUACCAUAGAUGGUGAAAGUCCAGUAGUCGAAAGAUCAAUAGAACAUUUUCCUUUUAUCCCGAGUAGCAUGGGGCACGUGAAAUCCCGUGUGAAUCAGCGAGGACCACCUCGUAAGGCUAAAUACUCCUGAGUGACCGAUAGCGAAGAGUACCGCGAGGGAAAGGUGAAAGAGAACCCCUUCUGGGGAGUGAAAAAGUACAUGAAACCGUUAUCUGACAAGCUGUGGGAGGGGGCUGCUUUGCUGGACCCUGACCGCGUGCCUGUGGAAGAAUGAGCCGGCGACUUAUAGGGAGUGGCGUGGUUAAGGGGGAGAGACCCGAAGCCAGAGUGAAAACAAGUCCUCACAGGGCGUUUCCGUCACUUCUUAUGGACCCGAACCCGGGUGAUCUAACCAUGGCCAGGAUGAAGCUUGGGUAACACCAAGUGGAAGACCGAACCCAUCGAUGUUGAAAAAUCGUGGGAUGAGUUGUGGUUAGGGGUGAAAUGCCAAUCGAACUCGGAGCUAGCUGGUUCUCCCCGAAAUGCGUUGAGGCGCAGCGGUUGAUGAAUGAACUGCCUAGGGGUAAAGCACUGUAUCGGUGCGGGCUGCGAGAGCGGUACCAAAUCGUAGCAAACUCUGAAUACUAGGUAUGAAUUGCCAUCAGCCAGUGGGACGGUGGGGGAUAAGCUCCAUCGUCGAGAGGGAAACAGCCCAGAUCACCAGCUAAGGCCCCAAAAUGAUCGCUCAGUGGAAAAGGAGGUGAAAAUGCUGAAACAGCCAGAAGGUUCGCUUAGAAGCAGCAAUCCUUUAAAGAGUGCGUAAUAGCUCACUGGUAGAGCGUUCUUGCGCCGAAAAUGUACGGGACUAAGCGAUCUGCCGAAGCUGUGGGCUCCCUUUCUUUUUUUGAAAUGAAAGGGAAGCGGUAGGGGAGCGUUCUGCCAUAGGGUGAAGGGAGAAUGAGAAUUCUCCUGGACGAGGCAGAAGUGAGAAUGUCGGCUUGAGUAACGAAAACAUUGGUGAGAAUCCAAUGCCCCGAAAACCUAAGGAUUCCUUCACUAGGCUCGUCCAUGGAGGGUUAGUCAGGUCCUAAGGCAAGGCCGAAAGGCGUAGUCGAUGGGAAACAGGUUAAUAUUCCUGUACUUUUGAGAGUGUAGCAUUGAGGGACGAAGGUGGCACGGGAUGGCCAAAAUUGGAUUUUGGUGGAAACGGGCAAGGUGAAGAGAGGGAGAAAAGAAACUCUCCUUGAGCCGAGCUGUGAUACGGUUCUGACUCGGUCUCUCCCUCAAAAGAGGGAUCAUCAGGGCUCAUCCCUUCCUGUCAGUCUUCCUAGAAAAGCUCAAAAAAGCGGUCCUCUCAAGACCUGUACCUGAAACCGACACAGGUAGGUGGGUAGAGAAUACCAAGGGGAGCGAGAGAACUCUCUCUAAGGAACUCGGCAAAAUGGCCCCGUAACUUCGGGAGAAGGGGUACCCCUCAAAUGGGGGGUCGCAGUGACCAGGCCCAGGCGACUGUUUACCAAAAACACAGGUCUCCGCAAAGUCGUAAGACAAUCUAUGGGGGCUGACGCCUGCCCGGUGCCGGAAGGUGAAGGGAGUUAGUUAUCCAUCUUUGGGUGGAAAAGCUUACAACCGAAGCCCCGGUGAACGGCGGCCGUAACUAUAACGGUCCUAAGGUAGCGAAAUUCCUUGUCGGGUAAGUUCCGACCCGCACGAAAGGCGUAACGAUCUGGGCACUGUCUCAGAGAGAGACUCGGUGAAAUAGACAUGUCCGUGAAGAUGCGGACUUCCUACACCUGGACAGAAAGACCCUAUGAAGCUUUACUGUAGCCUGAGAUUGGGUUUGGGCUUCUCUUGCGCAGUCUAGGUGGGAGGCGUUGAAAACUCCUUUCCGGGGGAGUUAGAGCCAUCAGUGAGAGACCACUCUGGAGAAGCUAGAAUCCUAAUAGUGAUCCUUGAUCAGGACACUUGACAGUCUCAGGUGGGCAGUUUGACUGGGGCGGUCGCCUCCUAAAAGGUAACGGAGGCGUGCAAAGGUUCCCUCAGGCUGGACGGAAAUCAGCCGGAGAGUGCAAAGGCAAAAGGGAGCUUGACUGCAAGACCUACAAGUCGAGCAGGGGCGAAAGCCGGCCUUAGUGAUCCGACGGUACCACGUGGAAGGGCCGUCGCUCAACGGAUAAAAGUUACUCUAGGGAUAACAGGCUGAUCUUCCCCAAGAGUUCACAUCGACGGGAAGGUUUGGCACCUCGAUGUCGGCUCAUCGCAACCUGGGGCGGUAGUACGUCCCAAGGGUUGGGCUGUUCGCCCAUGAAAGCGGUACGUGAGCUGGGUUCAGAACGUAGACAUCACUGCGUUGCAGCGUAGAAAUAUGACUGUUAGCAUCGGCUUAUAUCGGUGAAGCCUUCACAAGGAAGAACUGCUUUGUAUGGUAAUACCGAGGGAAGAAUACCAAAAUCAUGACACUCAAACAAUUAACCUCGCUUGAUCUCGCCUAUGUUGCAGGGAUUAUUGAUGGAGAUGGAUGUAUCAAUGCUCAGAUUGUGCGUCGACAUGAUUAUGUAUUGAAAUUUCAAAUACGCAUAAGCGUUACUGUUUUUCAAAAGACCACACGACAUUGGUUUAUACUCCACUUGCAAAAAGAGAUAGGAUUGGGGACCGCGCGAAAAAGACCAGAUGGGAUCUCGGAGUAUGCUUUGAUUGGUAACAGCU